RNAcentral lists this ribosomal RNA (99 nucleotides) under uncultured bacterium. RNAcentral describes it as "partial 16S ribosomal RNA". The record is from RNAcentral.
CACCCGCCCGUCACACCAUGGAAGCCAGCUGUACCGGAAGUCGGUGCGCCCAACCCGCAAGGGAAGUAGCCGCCCAUGGUAUGACUGGUGACUGGGGUG